AAUGAACGCUGGCGGUAGGCCUAACACAUGCAAGUUGAACGCAUACUUUUACAGUAUCAGUCGCAAACGGGUGAGUAACGCGUGAGAAAUCUACCUUCCACUCUGGGAUAAAAUCCCGGAUUCUUUCUAAACUAGAUGUUCCGAUAAAUAGUCUAGCAUAAACGAUUAAAUGUCGUUGUAAGAUGUGCUCGCGUAGGAUUAGGUAGUGGGUGAGGUAAAAGCUACACCAAGCCGGAGAUUCUGAGCCGGUCUAAGAGGCUGAUCAGCCACACUGGGACUGAGACACGGCCCAGACGCUUUCGAGCGGCAGCAGUGAGGAAUUUUUGACAAUGGGCGAAAGCCUGAGCCAGCCAUAUCGCAUGAGUGAAGAAGUCUCAAGAGGGUGUAAAGCUCUGAUUUGAUUGAAGAUUAUGACAUAAGAUCAAAGAAUAGGCCCGGCUAACUUCGUG
Molecule: ribosomal RNA, 449 nt
Filed under: uncultured bacterium
Lineage: Bacteria
Description: partial 16S ribosomal RNA
Rfam family: Bacterial small subunit ribosomal RNA
Source: RNAcentral